RNAcentral lists this long non-coding RNA (480 nucleotides) under Pandoravirus dulcis. RNAcentral's name for it is "putative ncRNA". The record is from RNAcentral.
CCUCCCUUUUUUUUGUUGGCGGGUCUCCCUCUUUGGCCCUCUUUUUUCUUUCUGCGCGCCCAUUCUUUUGCACGACCGCUCUUUUUUCCCACCGUCGGGGAGGCGCUCCCCCCCCCUGGCCCCAUCGCCGCGUCCCCCAAUCGCGUCUUUUCUUUUUCUUUUUUCCUGUUCUUGGCGCGGGCAUGGUCGGCUUUAGAAAAAAAAACAAAGGGGCCAAGCCUCAAAGAGAUGCGCUGCCCAGUGUCCCCCUGCCAAGGCGACCAAGGCACCCACGCGCGCGAGGAGACCACGACAAAAAGGCGCGACCAAAUCAUCCAAUGGCAGCCAUUCGAUCGUGGAGGAACAAAGAAAGGAGCCUCUGAAAAGGCUGAGAAGCAAAGGCGCAGACACCCGACGAGGAAUGCUCUUCUUGGGCCGCGGGUGCCUCUCUCAAAAAAAGAAAGAAAGAAAGAAACCCUUUGCCGCCCCCGGCCAUCCGAC